AGUGAACGCUGGCGGUAGGCCUAACACAUGCAAGUCGAACGGCAGCACAGUAAGAGCUUGCUCUUACGGGUGGCGAGUGGCGUACGGGUGAGGAAUACAUCGUAAUCUACUUUUUCGUGGGGGAUAACGUAGGGAAACUUACGCUAAUACCGCAUACGACCUACGGUUGAAAGCUGGGGAUCUUCGGACCUUGCGCGAUUGAUUGAGCCGAUGUCGGAUUAGCUAGUUGGCGGGGUAAAGGCCCACCAAGGCGACGAUCCGUAGCUGGUCUGAGAGGGUGAUGGGCCACACUGGAACUGGGACACGGUACAGACUCCUACGGGAGGCAGCAGUAGGGAAUCUUCCGCAAUGGGCGAAAGCCUGACGGAGCAACGCCGCGUGAGUGAUGAAGGUCUUCGGGUUGUAAAGCCAUUUUGUUGGGAAAGAAAAGCAGCAGGUUAAUACCCCGCUGUUCUGACGGUACCCAAAGAAUAAGCACCGGCUAACUUCGUG
RNAcentral lists this ribosomal RNA (492 nucleotides) under uncultured bacterium. Its description in RNAcentral is "partial 16S ribosomal RNA". It matches the Rfam family "Bacterial small subunit ribosomal RNA", at positions 29 to 507 of the family's 1533-position model. The record is from RNAcentral.